RNAcentral lists this non-coding RNA (51 nucleotides) under unclassified sequences. Its description in RNAcentral is "6A RNA". It matches the Rfam family "6A RNA". Rfam says of the family: Actinobacteria (1 example), Firmicutes, Fusobacteria. Terminator (Clostridia) The record is from Rfam by way of RNAcentral.
UGAUCUGCUCGUAGAGCGCGAGCAGGGUAAAAUAAAGAAAGCUCAAACAGA